GCGCCUCUCCCGCCACACCUCCCUGCAAGCUGAGGGAGCCGGCUCCUGCCUUGGCCAGGCUAGAAAGGGGCUCCCACAGUGCAGGGGCGGGCUGAAGGGCUCCUCAAGUGCCACCAAAGUGGGAGCCCAGGCAGAGGAGGUGCCGAGAGCGAGCGAGGGCUGCGAGGACUGCCAGCAGCUGUCACCUCUCGUUACCAUCACUCCUAGUGACCAUUUCGGAUAAUCCACCUUGCCUCAUCAAACCAGAAAACAAUUCAAACCUGGCCUCCUUCUAACUGGAAGCCACAUUUUAAGAACUUAUUGUGAAGAACUGGAAAGCCUCCAAUAGAACAGAAGCUAAAAGCAGAAAUUAUAAAAGCUGUUACACCUACUCAGCUC
Molecule: long non-coding RNA, 378 nt
Filed under: Homo sapiens (human)
Lineage: Eukaryota; Metazoa; Chordata; Mammalia; Primates; Hominidae
Description: non-protein coding LINC02046:4
Source: RNAcentral